AACGAACGCUGGCGGCAUGCCUAACACAUGCAAGUCGAACGAGACCUUCGGGUCUAGUGGCGCACGGGUGCGUAACGCGUGGGAACCUGCCCUUAGGUUCGGAAUACCUCCCCGAAAGGGGUGCUAAUACCGGAUAAUGUCUUCGGACCAAAGAUUUAUCGCCUUUGGAUGGGCCCGCGUUGGAUUAGCUAGUUGGUAGGGUAAAAGCCUACCAAGGCGACGAUCCAUAGCUGGUCUGAGAGGAUGAUCAGCCACACUGGGACUGAGACACGGCCCAGACUCCUACGGGAGGCAGCAGUGGGGAAUAUUGGACAAUGGGCGAAAGCCUGAUCCAGCAAUGCCGCGUGAGUGAGGAAGGCCUUAGGGUUGUAAAGCUCUUUUACCCGGGAUGAUAAUGACAGUACCGGGAGAAUAAGCUCCGGCUAACUCCGUG
RNAcentral lists this ribosomal RNA (433 nucleotides) under uncultured bacterium. RNAcentral's name for it is "partial 16S ribosomal RNA". It matches the Rfam family "Bacterial small subunit ribosomal RNA", at positions 29 to 507 of the family's 1533-position model. The record is from RNAcentral.